UACGUAGGGUGCGAGCGUUGUCCGGAAUUAUUGGGCGUAAAGAGCUCGUAGGCGGUUUGUCGCGUCUGCCGUGAAAGUCCGGGGCUCAACUCCGGAUCUGCGGUGGGUACGGGCAGACUAGAGUGAUGUAGGGGAGACUGGAAUUCCUGGUGUAGCGGUGGAAUGCGCAGAUAUCAGGAGGAACACCGGUGGCGAAGGCGGGUCUCUGGGCAGUAACUGACGCUGAGGAGCGAAAGCGUGGGGAGCAAACAGG
RNAcentral lists this ribosomal RNA (253 nucleotides) under uncultured bacterium. RNAcentral's name for it is "partial 16S ribosomal RNA". It matches the Rfam family "Bacterial small subunit ribosomal RNA", at positions 524 to 776 of the family's 1533-position model. The record is from RNAcentral.